UUACUCUUUGAAUAUUUGUUUACUCUUUGAAUGACUAGUUUGAACCAACCUGUAUUAAAGAAGUGCAAGAUAACCGUAUGCCUGUCUCCGAAGAGUUAUAUACAAGAUAAAACAGAUAUACUCCGAGACAAGCGUAAAGUUCUGCGGGAAUCUAACGGGGAAAUUCGUGAAGAUCGGAGAAGCUUGGUAUCUAGUUUCUCUAGUCCUACUGAACCAUCCAGUUCAUCUAGAUCUAGGGUCCCUAGUCCUGGUUCAGAUAAAACGAGUUCUCUCCUUGUGGGAUCCCGGGAGAGGAGUUCAUCCAAAAGUUCUGGAUCAAUAGUUACAGUUCAUGAGGAAGGAUUGAAGUGUAUUAAGAGUGAAACUGCUUCUCCGACUUCGUCGCCUUAUUAUCUAGUUGAAGAUGGUCUAGUUGAAGAUGAUCUUGUUGAAGAUGGGGUUGAUGAAGAUGGGGUUGAGAUGUCAUUUGACGCAGAAAACUCCAAUAGAACUAGAAAUACCAAACCAAAUCAAAUUGAUAAAUUAUCACAAAAAUCAGGCGCUUCAGUCCAUCCCAUGCUUAAAUUCGAUGUAAAAAUACCAAAUCAUCCUUUGACAGUGAAUCAGUUACGACAGGCAAAACGUGACAUGAAGGCUUUAAAAAAGCCUAUUUUGAAAGUGUCUGUGCCCCGAGAUAAUGAGUCGGCGAGAAUAACUGAUUUAAGGAUUCCGGUUCGGCAGGCAGCGAUCAAUCCUGCGAAUGAUCUCAACAAUGUCGGAGAGUGGGAUAUACAUAGAAACCAUGUUGUGCUGUUGGAGUCCGAGCAUUUUUCGAAAAGUCUUCUACACAACGAGUUUAAAAAUACCGAAGAGGACGAAGAGGAGACAAAUUUAAGUAUUCAGAGGUACCUGGAGUCAUUGGAACCUUCAACUACGACACGGCUCUGAGUCGAUUCUUUCGAAUAAUUUGUAAAAGAUUCUAAUUGACUAAGGGUUAUGGUGUAACCGUUCCAGGUACCCGGAGUCAUUUUAAGUGGAACCUUCAGCCCAAAAUUUAAAAAGAAAAAAUACUCAUUCAGAUUAUUUACAAAAAUACUCUCAUCUUUUACGAAUAUCAUUAUUAGAUCUGAUUAGUUAGUUUUUAACAUAGAUAAUUUUCUUGUACUUCCUAUUUUUGAUUAUUUUGGAGCUUGGCGAGGGGAUGAACAAUACUCUCAAUGUUCACAAUUCUAAUUAUUAGAUUUGAUAAUAGUUUGGAGCAGUACAUAAUGUUUCGUACUUCUCAUUUUUGAUUAAUUUUGUAGCUUGAUUAUUUUAUUUCACUCAAAUUAUCUAAUAUACAUUUUACAUAAACAAACGAUAAAAAAACUACUUGUCGAAAAAAUUGAACCAUUUUAUAUUUAAGAAAUUUGUGUCCACUUUCGGUAAUACAUAUAAUAUUGCUUUAAUUGCUAUCACAAAACUGUUGUGCAUUUUCGUUGUAUGCGAAAUAUCUAAAAUUUGUAUUAUUUUGGUAUUACACAAAUAAUUGUGGUAAUUAUUACAUAUAUAAUCUCUGUGGCAUUACUACAUAAAAUGUAUGUUGUUACAUUAAAGAUGAUCCUGCAUCUAUGAUGAAUGAUUAUUUUUUUUUUCCUGUUAUAAAUAUACAUUUGUUUACAUAAAACGUAUUUGCUAAAACACUGAUUUAUAUUUUCAGAAAAAUAUAUGAUUUCACUUCACUGAAGAUAAUUGCACAUGUAUGUGUACUCAAGAUCCAUUUCCUCCAUGUAGUGCCCACAUGUCAAACCCCGCUUCUUCUCCCCCCCCCCCUCUACAGAUCCCAGCCCCGGCAGUCAGUGGAGAACACUGGAGAUGAUCACAACUCCGUCUCAGGGAGCAAUCCUGGCUCCUUCAUAGUGAUGA
This 1884-nucleotide unclassified non-coding RNA is filed under the name Eurytemora carolleeae. RNAcentral's name for it is "uncharacterized LOC111713384". Lineage: Eukaryota; Metazoa; Arthropoda; Copepoda; Calanoida; Temoridae. The record is from RNAcentral.